Molecule: ribosomal RNA, 473 nt
Filed under: uncultured bacterium
Lineage: Bacteria
Description: bacterial SSU rRNA
Rfam family: Bacterial small subunit ribosomal RNA
Source: RNAcentral
ACUCCUACGGGAGGCAGCAGUGGGGAAUAUUGCACAAUGGGGGAACCCUGAUGCAGCCAUGCCGCGUGUGUGAAGAAGGCCUUCGGGUUGUAAAGCACUUUCAGUAGGGAGGAAGGUAGUGUAGUUAACACCUGCAUUAUUUGACGUUACCUACAGAAGAAGCACCGGCUAACUCCGUGCCAGCAGCCGCGGUAAUACGGAGGGUGCGAGCGUUAAUCGGAAUUACUGGGCGUAAAGCGCAUGCAGGCGGUCUGUUAAGUCAGAUGUGAAAGCCCGGGGCUUAACCUCGGAAUUGCAUUUGAAACUGGCAGGCUAGAGUCUUGUAGAGGGGGGUAGAAUUUCAGGUGUAGCGGUGAAAUGCGUAGAGAUCUGAAGGAAUACCAGUGGCGAAGGCGGCCCCCUGGACAAAGCUGAACGCUCAGAUGCGAAAAGCGUGGGGAGCAAACAGGAUUAGAUACCCUGGUAGGAUAGCG